GCCAUCGACAAGAUGGAGGAAGGUGGGGAUGACGUCAAGUCAUCAUGGCCCUUAUGUCCAGGGCGACACACGUGCUACAAUGGCCGGCACAACGGGAAGCGAGUUCGCGAGGACGAGCGGAUCCCUCAAAGCCGGUCGCAGUUCGGAUUGAAGUCUGCAACUCGACUUCAUGAAGCUGGAAUCGCUAGUAAUCGUGGAUCAGUCAAGCCGCGGUGAAUACGUUCCCGGGCCUU
This 233-nucleotide ribosomal RNA is filed under the name uncultured Synergistaceae bacterium. RNAcentral's name for it is "partial 16S ribosomal RNA". It matches the Rfam family "Bacterial small subunit ribosomal RNA", at positions 1151 to 1382 of the family's 1533-position model. Lineage: Bacteria; Thermotogati; Synergistota; Synergistia; Synergistales; Synergistaceae. The record is from RNAcentral.